GCUGGCGGCGUGCUUAACACAUGCAAGUCGAACGAAGAGCGAUGGAAGCUUGCUUCUAUCAAUCUUAGUGGCGAACGGGUGAGUAACGCGUAAUCAACCUGCCCUUCAGAGGGGGACAACAGUUGGAAACGACUGCUAAUACCGCAUACGAUCUAAUCUCGGCAUCGAGGAUAGAUGAAAGGUGGCCUCUACAUGUAAGCUAUCACUGAAGGAGGGGAUUGCGUCUGAUUAGCUAGUUGGAGGGGUAACGGCCCACCAAGGCGAUGAUCAGUAGCCGGUCUGAGAGGAUGAACGGCCACAUUGGGACUGAGACACGGCCCAGACUUCCUACGGGAGGCAGCAGUGGGGAAUCUUCCGCAAUGGACGAAAGUCUGACGGAGCAACGCCGCGUGAGUGAUGACGGCUUCGGGUUGUAAAGCUCUGUUAAUCGGGACGAAAGGCCUUCUUGCGAAUAGUUAGAAGGA
RNAcentral lists this ribosomal RNA (464 nucleotides) under Veillonella parvula. RNAcentral's name for it is "bacterial SSU rRNA". It matches the Rfam family "Bacterial small subunit ribosomal RNA", at positions 35 to 476 of the family's 1533-position model. The record is from RNAcentral. Lineage: Bacteria; Bacillati; Bacillota; Negativicutes; Veillonellales; Veillonellaceae.